CGAUUUUGGUUUACAAUAUUGUAAUUAAAAGGGAAUUAGGUGAGAAUCCUAAACAGUCCCGCUGCUGUAAGUUAGUUGUCGUAUAAUCGACAAUCCUGUAAUGCGGUCAUUGCACUAUAUCUGAAUUGGUGUGAGAAGGCCGUAUUUUGUUGCCAAACACAGUUCUAACGAGUCAGAAUACCUGCCAAGUCAAGA
This 195-nucleotide non-coding RNA is filed under the name fish gut metagenome. The record is from RNAcentral.